CAGGGGACGGUACUCCACGUCCUCUCGGAGCAGGCGGUUGUCAUUCAGGGUGUAUUUGGCUUUGCCAGUCACGCUGUCUACCGGCCCCUUGUCCACUUGAUGCUUAAUUCCACGGAAAAGCAUGUACAGAGGCUCCCCUACCGAGUCCUGGGAGAGUGGCGGGCAGGUAGGACACCCGGGGCAGGGGACAAGCAUGGGAUGGAGGUGCUGGGGGAGGGGACAGGAUGCUGGCCGCAGAAGGCUUAAGGUGGCUGAGGACAUACUGGGCAGGGGUGCCCAAGCUGUGCUGGGACAAGAAGCUGUGUGGUUCAGAGUCCUGACUCUCCCUGGAGGGGAGCCCCACCCACCUCUGCCUCACUCACCCUCACGAAGGUGUAGAGGCAGAUAGACAUCCAGUUGGUGAGCAGCUUCUCCACCACGGUCUCUGUCCUGGGAUGACAGGAAAGAGCGGGCAGAGUCAGCAGGUGGGGACCCAGGGCUUUCUAUUCUUCAGACCCCAGGCCCCAGAAGGCCUGACCCAGGUCUUGGCUCCAGCUGUCCACAGCCACCUGGCCCCCGUAGCGUCUUACGGGCAUACAGACCUGCGCAGCAUCAGCUUGGGGUUCUUGGCCACGUACUGGGCCACCAGGUCACUGAGCAGGGUGCGCAGGAUGUCAGUGAAGUACUCAAGCUUCCCGUGCAGUGCCACGGUGAGCAGAGAUGCCACGUAGGCGCGGUCCCGAGCUGAGAAGGUGCGCUGGCUCUCCAGGGUGUGGAUGAACUGGCGCCAGGGAGAGGGGAUGGGUGGGUGGGGAGGGCAGAUUCAGAAACGGAGGGACUGAGAAGGGAUGGGGCUGGAGGGUAGGGGGACCCCCUCCCCACCCCUGGAGGGCCCAGAUAGGGGGUGGGGCCGGCACCUUGAUGAGGAAGAGCUUGCUGUUAAGCAGGUUGGAAAGCUGCCCCAGCCCUUGUUCCACAGUGGGUCGCCUGCUCUCAGGCACGCCCAAGUCCCGGUGCAAGGGUGACUCCUGGUGCCCAGGGAAGAAGACCCUCUCGGCAUACACCUUGUAGUCGAGGAAGGGGAUGCCGCUGCCCAGAAGGUCACUGCGGUCCCGCACGCUGCUCUCCAGAUUCUCCAGCUGGAUCUGCACCUUCUUAUAGUCCCUCAGAGCCUGCUUGCUCUUCCUCCUGCUCAGCACCAAGGUCAGGGCAGGGAAGGCCAGAGGAGGCCCGAGCCCUUGCUGGGUCCCACCGGGCCCAGGCCUGCCCAGGCCAGCACAGUCUAACCCUGCCAUGCCCAGCCAAGCCAGGACCUAGUCAGAAUAAUUCAGCCUGUCCCAUCCCAGGCAAGUCACGCCCACCCACGACGCAUCUAGCCCAAGGAUCAGCAAACUAUAACACGGCCAAAUCUGGCCCCUGGCCUGUUUUUGUAAAUAAAGAUUUGUUGGAACACA
Long non-coding RNA from Lagenorhynchus albirostris (white-beaked dolphin), 1433 nucleotides. RefSeq lists it as uncharacterized. The transcript is spliced from 2 exons. The record is from RefSeq and is a predicted model, not a curated record. Lineage: Eukaryota; Metazoa; Chordata; Mammalia; Artiodactyla; Delphinidae.